This 253-nucleotide ribosomal RNA is filed under the name uncultured bacterium. RNAcentral's name for it is "partial 16S ribosomal RNA". It matches the Rfam family "Bacterial small subunit ribosomal RNA", at positions 524 to 776 of the family's 1533-position model. The record is from RNAcentral.
UACGUAGGGUGCAAGCGUUGUCCGGAAUUAUUGGGCGUAAAGAGCUCGUAGGCGGUCUGUCGCGUCGGAUGUGAAAAUCCAGGGCUUAACCCUGGGCCUGCAUUCGAUACGGGCAGACUAGAGUUCGGUAGGGGAGACUGGAAUUCCUGGUGUAGCGGUGAAAUGCGCAGAUAUCAGGAGGAACACCGGUGGCGAAGGCGGGUCUCUGGGCCGAUACUGACGCUGAGGUGCGAAAGCGUGGGGAGCAAACAGG